This 449-nucleotide ribosomal RNA is filed under the name uncultured organism. RNAcentral describes it as "partial 16S ribosomal RNA". It matches the Rfam family "Bacterial small subunit ribosomal RNA", at positions 335 to 800 of the family's 1533-position model. The record is from RNAcentral.
ACUCCUGCGGGAGGCAACAGUGGGGAAUAUUGGACAAUGGGCGCAAGCCUGAUCCAGCCAUGCCGCGUGAGUGAUGAAGGCCCUAGGGUUGUAAAGCUCUUUCACCGGUGAAGAUAAUGACGGUAACCGGAGAAGAAGCCCCGGCUAACUUCGUGCCAGCAGCCGCGGUAAUACGAAGGGGGCUAGCGUUGUUCGGAUUUACUGGGCGUAAAGCGCACGUAGGCGGACUAUUAAGUCAGGGGUGAAAUCCCGGGGCUCAACCCCGGAACUGCCUUUGAUACUGGUAGUCUUGAGUUCGAGAGAGGUGAGUGGAAUUCCGAGUGUAGAGGUGAAAUUCGUAGAUAUUCGGAGGAACACCAGUGGCGAAGGCGGCUCACUGGCUCGAUACUGACGCUGAGGUGCGAAAGCGUGGGGAGCAAACAGGAUUAGAAACCCGUGUAGUCCCAUGA